AUUGAACGCUGGCGGCAGGCCUAACACAUGCAAGUCGAGCGGAAACGAUCCUAGCUUGCUAGGAGGCGUCGAGCGGCGGACGGGUGAGUAACGCGUGAGAAUCUACCCAUGAGUGGGGGACAACCCGGGGAAACUCGGGCUAAUACCGCAUACGCCCUACGGGGUAAAGCAGGGGACCUUCGGGCCUUGCGCUGAUGGAUGAGCUCGCGUCGGAUUAGCUUGUUGGUGUGGUAAAGGCUCACCAAGGCGACGAUCCGUAGCUGGUCUGAGAGGAUGAUCAGCCACACCGGGACUGAGACACGGCCCGGACUCCUACGGGAGGCAGCAGUGGGGAAUCUUGGACAAUGGGGGCAACCCUGAUCCAGCCAUGCCGCGUGUGUGAAGAAGGCCUUCGGGUUGUAAAGCACUUUCAGCAGGGAGGAAGGCUUACCCCUAAUACGGGUGAGUACUUGACGUUACCUGCAGAAGAAGCACCGGCUAAUUUCGUG
RNAcentral lists this ribosomal RNA (488 nucleotides) under uncultured bacterium. RNAcentral's name for it is "bacterial SSU rRNA". It matches the Rfam family "Bacterial small subunit ribosomal RNA", at positions 30 to 507 of the family's 1533-position model. The record is from RNAcentral.